GACGAACGCUGGCGGCGUGCUUAACACAUGCAAGUUGAACGGAAAGGCCCUGCUUUUGUGGGGUGCUCGAGUGGCGAACGGGUGAGUAACACGUGAGUAACCUGCCCUUGACUUUGGGAUAACUUCAGGAAACUGGGGCUAAUACCGGAUAGGAGCUCCUGCUGCAUGGUGGGGGUUGGAAAGUUUCGGCGGUUGGGGAUGGACUCGCGGCUUAUCAGCUUGUUGGUGGGGUAGUGGCUUACCAAGGCUUUGACGGGUAGCCGGCCUGAGAGGGUGACCGGCCACAUUGGGACUGAGAUACGGCCCAGACUCCUACGGGAGGCAGCAGUGGGGAAUAUUGCACAAUGGGCGGAAGCCUGAUGCAGCAACGCCGCGUGCGGGAUGACGGCCUUCGGGUUGUAAACCGCUUUCGCCUGUGACGAAGCGUGAGUGACGGUAAUGGGUAAAGAAGCACCGGCUAACUAC
This 465-nucleotide ribosomal RNA is filed under the name uncultured bacterium. RNAcentral's name for it is "partial 16S ribosomal RNA". It matches the Rfam family "Bacterial small subunit ribosomal RNA", at positions 28 to 504 of the family's 1533-position model. The record is from RNAcentral.